UACGUAGGGUCCGAGCGUUGUCCGGAAUUACUGGGCGUAAAGGGCGCGUAGGCGGUGUGUCAAGUCAGGCGUGAAAGCCCCGGGCUCAACCUGGGAACCGCGCUUGAGACUGGCACGCUCGAGUUCGGGAGAGGAUGGUGGAAUUCCCAGUGUAGAGGUGAAAUUCGUAGAUAUUGGGAAGAACACCGAUGGCGAAGGCGGCAUCCUGGACCGGCAUUGACGCUGAGGCGCGAAAGCUAGGGGAGCAAACGGG
This 253-nucleotide ribosomal RNA is filed under the name uncultured bacterium. RNAcentral's name for it is "partial 16S ribosomal RNA". It matches the Rfam family "Bacterial small subunit ribosomal RNA", at positions 524 to 776 of the family's 1533-position model. The record is from RNAcentral.